This 369-nucleotide ribosomal RNA is filed under the name uncultured cyanobacterium. RNAcentral's name for it is "bacterial SSU rRNA". It matches the Rfam family "Bacterial small subunit ribosomal RNA", at positions 359 to 745 of the family's 1533-position model. Lineage: Bacteria; Bacillati; Cyanobacteriota. The record is from RNAcentral.
AAUUUUCCAAUGGGGGAAAACCCGAGGGAGCAAUACCGCGUGAGGGAGGAAGGCCCUUGGGUUGUAAACCUCUUUUUUCAAGGAAGAAAAAAAUGACGGUACUCGAGGAAUAAGCAUCGGCUAAAUCCGUGCCAGCAGCCGCGGUAAUACGGAGGAUGCAAGCGUUAUCCGGAAUUAUUGGGCGUAAAGAGUCCGUCGGCGGCCCGGCAAGUCUGCUGUCAAAGAAUGGAGCUUAACCCAUAAGGGCAGUGGAAACUGCAGAGCUAGAGUCUGGGAGGGGCAGAGGGAAUUCCCAGUGUAGCGGUGAAAUGCGUAGAGAUUGGGAAGAACACCGGUGGCGAAAGCGCUCUACUGGACCAGAACUGAUCG